RNAcentral lists this unclassified non-coding RNA (231 nucleotides) under fungal sp. Its description in RNAcentral is "partial internal transcribed spacer region". The stretch from base 1 to 48 matches the Rfam family "Eukaryotic small subunit ribosomal RNA", at positions 1784 to 1831 of the family's 1831-position model. Lineage: Eukaryota; Fungi. The record is from RNAcentral.
AAAAGUCGUAACAAGGUUUCCGUAGGUGAACCUGCGGAAGGAUCAUUAACACGUAUCCAACGUUAAUCCCCCCCGUGCACCUUCAUUUCUCUUGACUAAGAGUUAAACAACCUUCUUACCAAGAGCUAGACCCUGCAAAACCUGCCGGCAAUCGACCACCAGCUUACACCCUUAAACGGGCCAGGAGCCGGUAACCCGAACAACUGUUAACAAUGGAUAUCUUGGCUCUCG